This 789-nucleotide ribosomal RNA is filed under the name Escherichia coli. RNAcentral describes it as "partial 23S ribosomal RNA". It matches the Rfam family "Bacterial large subunit ribosomal RNA", at positions 419 to 1209 of the family's 2925-position model. Lineage: Bacteria; Pseudomonadati; Pseudomonadota; Gammaproteobacteria; Enterobacterales; Enterobacteriaceae. The record is from RNAcentral. RNAcentral also lists the same sequence under 1 other name.
GGGACACGUGGUAUCCUGUCUGAAUAUGGGGGGACCAUCCUCCAAGGCUAAAUACUCCUGACUGACCGAUAGUGAACCAGUACCGUGAGGGAAAGGCGAAAAGAACCCCGGCGAGGGGAGUGAAAAAGAACCUGAAACCGUGUACGUACAAGCAGUGGGAGCACGCUUAGGCGUGUGACUGCGUACCUUUUGUAUAAUGGGUCAGCGACUUAUAUUCUGUAGCAAGGUUAACCGAAUAGGGGAGCCGAAGGGAAACCGAGUCUUAACUGGGCGUUAAGUUGCAGGGUAUAGACCCGAAACCCGGUGAUCUAGCCAUGGGCAGGUUGAAGGUUGGGUAACACUAACUGGAGGACCGAACCGACUAAUGUUGAAAAAUUAGCGGAUGACUUGUGGCUGGGGGUGAAAGGCCAAUCAAACCGGGAGAUAGCUGGUUCUCCCCGAAAGCUAUUUAGGUAGCGCCUCGUGAAUUCAUCUCCGGGGGUAGAGCACUGUUUCGGCAAGGGGGUCAUCCCGACUUACCAACCCGAUGCAAACUGCGAAUACCGGAGAAUGUUAUCACGGGAGACACACGGCGGGUGCUAACGUCCGUCGUGAAGAGGGAAACAACCCAGACCGCCAGCUAAGGUCCCAAAGUCAUGGUUAAGUGGGAAACGAUGUGGGAAGGCCCAGACAGCCAGGAUGUUGGCUUAGAAGCAGCCAUCAUUUAAAGAAAGCGUAAUAGCUCACUGGUCGAGUCGGCCUGCGCGGAAGAUGUAACGGGGCUAAACCAUGCACCGAAGCUGCGGCAGC